UACAUGGGGUGCAAACGUUGCUCGGAAUUAUUGGGCGUAAAGCGCACGUAGGCGGUUCGUUAAGUCGGAUGUGAAAGCCCUCGGCUCAACUGAGGAAGUGCACCCGAAACUGGCGAGCUUGAGUACGAAAGAGGAUCGCGGAAUUCCCGGUGUAGAGGUGAAAUUCGUAGAUAUCGGGAGGAACACCGGUGGCGAAGGCGGCGAUCGUGGGUCGAUACUGAACGCAUGAGGUGGCGAAAAGC
RNAcentral lists this ribosomal RNA (242 nucleotides) under uncultured bacterium. Its description in RNAcentral is "partial 16S ribosomal RNA". It matches the Rfam family "Bacterial small subunit ribosomal RNA", at positions 524 to 761 of the family's 1533-position model. The record is from RNAcentral.